ACUGCAAGACUGGCCUUUGAUCUUACGACCCAGUCCCGUAAGCGUUCUAACCCCAUUUCUGGUUCCUCUGGUCACAGCACAAAUUUCCAGCUGGAAGGGGAAUGGAGACUAUGGGACCUAGGAGCAAGAGGUUCCAGGCUGCCUCACUCCCUUAUAGAUGUUGACGUUAAAAGAAUAUUGGCAGAAAAACAGCCCUAGAGUUCCAGCAGGAGCGAACAGGAACAGGAAAACAAAUGGCAGUAUCCCUGAGACAGCCACUUCUGGUGGUUGCCAGUCACCUGGGGAUUCAGCAACAGGUUUCCACAGGGAAGGCCCUACAGCAUCUGCUACCCUGAAAGAUCUGGAGAGCCCGUGCCAAGAACGAGCAGUAGUCCUGGAUUCAAGGUUCGUAGGAAUCAGUCAACUGAAGAACACCAUCAAAUCUUUGAAACAACAGAAGAAACAAGUGGAACAUCAGCUGGAAGAAGAAAAGAAAGCAAACAACGAGAGACAGAAAGCCGAAAGGGAGCUAGAGGUUCAAAUCCAGACAUUGAACAUACAGAAAGAGGAACUAAAUACAGACCUGUACCACAUGAAACGUUCUCUCAGAUACUUUGAAGAAAAGUCCAAGGAUCUGGCUGUCCGCCUGCAACAUUCAUUGCAGCGUAAAGGAGAGUUAGAGAGUGUUCUCUCUGAUGUCAUGGCCACACAGAAGAAGAAGGCAAACCAGGUGAGUCCAGCCACCUGCCCCAUCCCCUGGGAGCCUGGCUUUGCAGAUGGAGGAGUGAGCCUAAAGGUCCCUUCUGCAGGAUGGCAUGUCCUGCCCAGAAGGCAGCAUGGCCGUUUCUUGCUACUUUUUUGUAUGGUUUUUAGUGGCAGCCUGGGGCUGAGUCAGCUGCUGUGGGUGAGUUGGGGGUCACUGUGUGGAGUGAGCACUGGACGCAGAGCUUGGAGGCCAAGUGCCUGCCCCGCCCUUACCUGGCUGUGGUCUUGGGCAAGUCCUAGGUGGGGUAUUGGGUACUUGUACUGUGAAGGUACAGAAGAGUACCUUUAGUAUGUUACCAUUUCUGUAGAAAGAGGAAACGUGUGCAUGUGUGUGUGUGUGUGUGUGUGUGUGUGUACAUACUAUGAUAAUAUACAUAAAACAUGUCUGCAAGGGUUCAUAAAAAAUUCAGGAGAGAGCAACAAGAUGGCCGGGAGAUACUUCCCUUCUGUACCUUCUGAGUUUUGAACUAUGCAAAUGUAUCAUCCUUUCAAAAAGUGAACAAAAGAUUAAUUUUCCCCUUCCUAUCUG
This 1273-nucleotide small RNA is filed under the name Pan troglodytes (chimpanzee). Its description in RNAcentral is "processed transcript". The record is from RNAcentral. Lineage: Eukaryota; Metazoa; Chordata; Mammalia; Primates; Hominidae.